Molecule: ribosomal RNA, 194 nt
Filed under: uncultured Ralstonia sp.
Lineage: Bacteria; Pseudomonadati; Pseudomonadota; Betaproteobacteria; Burkholderiales; Burkholderiaceae
Description: partial 16S ribosomal RNA
Rfam family: Bacterial small subunit ribosomal RNA
Source: RNAcentral
CCUACGGGAGGCAGCAGUGGGGAAUUUUGGACAAUGGGGGCAACCCUGAUCCAGCAAUGCCGCGUGUGUGAAGAAGGCCUUCGGGUUGUAAAGCACUUUUGUCCGGAAAGAAAUCGCGCUGGCUAAUACCUGGCGUGGAUGACGGUACCGGAAGAAUAAGCACCGGCUAACUACGUGCCAGCAGCCGCGGUAAU